GUCAGUACACUGAAGUCCAACCAAGUUUUUAAGGCUUACAGACUGCAUAUACAGUAACAGUACACUCCUGGGCUAGCUAGCUAAACACACACAAUAGGUCAAGCCCAGAUAGUUUAAAAUGGCAUUAAAAAGCACAAAUUACUGAAUGGCACAAAUUACUUGUAAGGAAAUUAGCAAGAAUUAAGCAAAUGCACUCCCUAAAAAGAACAUCAAAGAUAAAAUAAGGUUUUUGUCAGAAUAUGAGAAGUUUGAUUCAGAGUGGUUCAGCAGAGUUGUGCGAAGUGAUGAAUCACGUUAAAACAUGACUUGCAUGGUUAUUCAGUAGACCGGUACCUUUGAAGAUCUGGUGAGAAAUACAACAAGGAACACAUUUCUACCACAGUGAAGCAUGGAGGAAGAUGCUGGUACUGAAGCAUAUGACCCCAGUCGUGUGGAGAGAGUCUGAUUUUGGACACUGUCAAAGCAAACUCUGGGACCUUACUGGAAUACACAAUGUAAACAAACACAGAAGUUCAUAAGCAGGAAGAUGGACUUCAUGCCACAUAUUAAGACUAAUUUUCAGAACUUCUGUGGCCUGUUGAUGUAAUAGCUAAGUUGUUUAUCAAUGAGAUAUGAAUGUAUAAUGUAUAUCAAGUAAAGCUCAGACAUUACAGAAAUAGCUACAAAUCAGUCUGUACAGACUUAAUAAUUUUCUAAAGUUUCUCUGCACCAGCAAAUGUCAUUGUGCCAACAGCGACAAGAAAGACACAAAAGCUUGCACUUCUCAUUUUCUGCAGUAUUACCAAUGAGAGAAAGGAAAGAGGCCUUGAUGUAUUAAAGCAAUGAAAUGGACUGGUGAGGUAGCAGCUGAAUAAGUGACAUAACACUGUGCUUUUAAUCACAGAGAAAUAUUUUUGUAAGAAAUGUUAAAAAGAAAAGGAAAGUGUGAUUAUAAGUUUUAGAGGUGGGAGAAACCAUUUAUGUUACUGUGGUAGAACUGCAAUACAAAAUCAUAUUUUUUUGCAAAUGGAAUAUAGGCUGCUUUUACACAAAUGAUGCAGUUAAGAAGAAAGCUAAACUGAGGCAAAGAUUUAAGAAUAUUUUGUGUGAAAAUCUUGGUGUCCAGCAACUUUAAUCUUAAGUGCAGUGACUUCAAUAGUCAGUUUCCAUAGUUAUUGCUUUAAAAUGACUCCCUUCAUUCAAGAGUUGUUUUUUUUAAUAUAUAUAAUAUCUCAUAUGCAGUUUGAGCUUUUCAGAGUAGCAGUCAGAUAAUAUAUCAUCUCAUCACAAAAUGCAAUAAAAAAAGACAAAUGUAUUUAUUUUUAUCAAGCUAUCAACAAUCUGUACAGAUGAAAAUAUAUUCAAAAAAAGUGUUAUUUUACUUUG
Long non-coding RNA from Cyprinus carpio carpio, 1365 nucleotides. NCBI's taxonomy places the organism in Eukaryota, Metazoa, Chordata, Actinopteri, Cypriniformes, Cyprinidae. The record is from Ensembl.